CAAAAGCCAAAGCCGUAAUUCGAGGUUGACUAAGAAUGACUAAAGUAAUUCAAUCAAUUGGUCAACAGGAAACUCAAAACCUGCUUACCGAUCUGAGGUUUCUUUCUUAUUAUGUUACGGCGUGGAAGGAAACAGGGGAGUUGGCAAGCUAUGAAGAUCAUUUGGCCAAGCUGAGGAAAGAAUAUCUUAGCUGCCAAGCUGAGGAAAGAAUAUCUUAGUGCCACUGCCAAACUAAGGAAAGAAUACCUUAGCUGCCAAGCUCAGGAAAG
This 269-nucleotide long non-coding RNA is filed under the name Amborella trichopoda. RNAcentral describes it as "long non-coding RNA (ATRI_LNC001704)". The record is from RNAcentral. Lineage: Eukaryota; Viridiplantae; Streptophyta; Magnoliopsida; Amborellales; Amborellaceae.